GAGACGCGAAACCUUGGGACGUUCCGUGACUGAGUAGUUUUUGUAAUGGCUCACUAGGUAGCCAGUUCAUCAUGUGUGGUACUUAGAUAGAUCUUUGAAUCUAGAUUUUAUGAUGAUGUAAAGUCCUCAUUGAGGCAAUUUUCCCUAUGUUAUAUAUGGUGAUCUUAUUGGUUUUUCGCAGCAAGUCGUUCCGCUAUGUUUUAUUUAUAUGUUCGUUUAAGUUUUAACAAGAGCAGAACUCGAUGAGUUAAAGAGUAACUAUAGAAAUGAUAGUAUGUCCUUAUUGUUUUUUUUAAUGCGCUGACAACUUGUGUUUAACCCAAUAGAAUGCCGCCAAAACGAGGACGACCAAGAGGAGGGGGCAGGAUUCCCCGAAAUGAAAGAAGAGGCCCAGAAACAGGGCCAGAACCAGAACCCGAAAUAGUUCAACCACCUGUUCAGCCAGAACGACGGAUUGAAGAAUUAUUCUUGCGACAGAAC
Molecule: long non-coding RNA, 480 nt
Filed under: Salvia miltiorrhiza (redroot sage)
Lineage: Eukaryota; Viridiplantae; Streptophyta; Magnoliopsida; Lamiales; Lamiaceae
Description: long non-coding RNA (SMIL_LNC002222)
Source: RNAcentral